This is a long non-coding RNA of Cheilinus undulatus (humphead wrasse), 462 nucleotides long. RefSeq lists it as uncharacterized. The transcript has 3 exons. The record is from RefSeq and is a predicted model, not a curated record. NCBI's taxonomy places the organism in Eukaryota, Metazoa, Chordata, Actinopteri, Labriformes, Labridae.
AUGAAGGAAAUGGAAGAAACAGAGGGACACGUAUUUGCAGAAGAGGAGAAAGGAGACAGAGUGGAGGAGUGGGUCGGGGGCAGGGCCAUCAGGACCCUCCAUCACCAAAGGGGGACGAGCAGUAACAUGGAGAGGGGGGUCGAGGACAGUCGGGCUGCAGAGGACUUCCAUGAAGAUCAGGGCCAGCAGAUGAGAACAUCAUGUACUCCUCUCUGAAACACUACUACCUGCUGCUGCUUCUGCUCCUCCAACACCUGGCCCAUCCACUCCAGCUGCUGUUCCCACAGAGACCCCAAGGAGGAGACCCCUGAGUGACUCCAGACAGCAGCUGAUGGAGGUGGAGAGGAUGUUGCUGGAGGCCCUGAGGACCAGUCCACCUGCAGCAGGAGGUGGAGAGGAUGUUGCUGGAGGCCCUGAGGACCAGUCCACCUGCAGCAGGAGGUGGAGAGGAUGUUGCUGGAG